Molecule: non-coding RNA, 46 nt
Filed under: Schistosoma margrebowiei
Lineage: Eukaryota; Metazoa; Platyhelminthes; Trematoda; Strigeidida; Schistosomatidae
Source: RNAcentral
GCACUGCUGAGGAGUCCCAAAAUAGGACGAAACGCCCGUCCAGUGC